Molecule: non-coding RNA, 554 nt
Organism: Triplophysa dalaica
Lineage: Eukaryota; Metazoa; Chordata; Actinopteri; Cypriniformes; Nemacheilidae
Source: the annotation of a RefSeq genome assembly
UGACCAACCUUAAAGUUAGAACUAUGAUUUCUCUCAUCCUUUGGUCACUGUGUUACAUUCAAGGUUCUUUGGGUCAGGUUUUGACUCAGUCUGGAAGUCAGACAGUGGAGCCUGGUCAAGCUAUUACUAUUGAAUGUAAACACACACCAAGUGUUAACUGUAUUAAAGAAAAAGGUUCCACUCAGGAUUGCAUGGCCUGGUAUCAUCAGAAUCUUGGAGAAGCUCCCAAACGCCUGAUCUCUUCCACAUCUGAUAGAGCUUCAGGAGUUUCCUCUAGAUUCAGUGGCAGUGAGAGUGGAAACCACAUUGAUUUUACUCUGACCAUCAGUAACGUUCAGCCUGAAGAUUCAGGAGAUUAUUACUGUCAGAGUGCACACGACAGAGGCAGUAAUGACUGGGUGUUCACACAGUGUUACAGCGUCAUACAAAAACCUCUCCUGUAAAUAUGAGUACAGCUUUGACUCACUGGUGAUUUAUUUAGUUCUGGUGAACUUUUGCUGUAACUUCGUUUUCCAAAUAUCUUUUUUGUAAUUUUGAUUAAAAAUGCAAUUAAA